RNAcentral lists this unclassified non-coding RNA (177 nucleotides) under uncultured fungus. Its description in RNAcentral is "sequence contains ITS1". Lineage: Eukaryota; Fungi. The record is from RNAcentral.
GUAUUUUGAAUUAUUUAUUCAUAAUAUUUUUCAGACAAAGAGUUAAAAAAUAAGUUGAUGUUUGGUCGUCCUCCAUAAAGAAGAACAACUGACAUUGCACACAAGGUGGAUAUGGAUUUAAAAAGUGCCAUAAAACACUUAUUAUGAAUGAUCCUUCCGCAGGUUCACCUACGGAAA